UUAUGCUAAUAAGAGCGUAUGGUGGAUGCCUUGGCACUAAGAGCCGAUGAAAGACGUGAUAAGCUGCGAAAAGCUUCGGGGAGGAGCAAAUAUCCAUUGAUCCGGAGAUUUCUGAAUGGGGAAACCUACUUGAGAAGACCUCAAGUAUCCACAGCCCAAUCCAUAAGCUGUGGAAGGGAACCCGGUGAACUGAAACAUCUAAGUAGCCGGAGGAAGAGAAAACAACAUGUGAUUCCGUAAGUAGCGGCGAGCGAACGCGGAAGAGCCCAAACCGGAGUGCGUGCACUCCGGGGUUCGGACUGCAGAAUUGACGAGUGAGCCUAGUAGAAUGGUUUUGGGAAAGCCAGCCAGAGAGGGUGAAAGCCCCGUACACGAAAGGCAAGCGAGCGAAGCAGGAUCCAGAGUACCACGAGACACGUGAAACCUUGUGGGAAUGCGCGGGGACCACCCCGUAAGGCUAAAUACUCCUUAGUGACCGAUAGCGCAUAGUACUGUGAAGGAAAGGUGAAAAGGACCCCGGGAGGGGAGUGAAAGAGAACCUGAAACCAUAUGUUUACAAGCUGUGGAACAUCUUUAUAUGAUGAACCGCGUACUUUUUGUAGAACGGUCCGGCGAGUUACGCUGGCUGGCGAGGUUAAGGGCUGAAGGCCCGGAGCCGAAGGGAAACCAAGUCUGAACAGGGCGAAAUAGUCAGUCGGAGUAGACCCGAAACCGGGUGAUCUAUCCAUGUCCAGGUUGAAGUUGCCGUAAAAGGCAAUGGAGGACCGAACCCACAUCCGUUGAAAAGGGUGGGGAUGAGGUGUGGAUAGGGGAGAAAUUCCAAUCGAACCCGGAGAUAGCUGGUUCUCCUCGAAAUAGCUUUAGGGCUAGCCUCAUGCAAGUCUUACGGAGGUAGAGCACUGAAUUCCUAAGGGGGCGUCAAAGCUUACCAAGGGAUAUCAAACUCCGAAUGCCGUGUAGAUGGUGCAUGGGAGUCAGACUAUCCGAGAUAAGUUGGGUAGUCAAAAGGGAAAGAGCCCAGACCUACAGCUAAGGUCCCAAAAUGUGUGUUAAGUGGAAAAGGAUGUGGGAUUUCGAAGACAACUAGGAUGUUGGCUUAGAAGCAGCCAUCCAUUAAAAGAGUGCGUAAUAGCUCACUAGUCGAGAGGUCCUGCGCCGAAAAUGUCCGGGGCUGAAACACACUACCGAAGCUUAGGAAUUGAUGAAUGUCAAUUGGUAGAGGAGCAUUCUUAACGGGGCGAAGCUGUACCGGAAGGAGCAGUGGACUGUUAAGAAGAGAGAAUGCCGGAAUGAGUAGCGAGAGGAAGGUGAGAAUCCUUCCGGCCGAAUAUCUAAGGUUUCCAGAGUAAAGCUGAUCUGCUCUGGGUAAGUCGGGGCCUAAGGCGAGGUCGAAAGACGUAGUCGAUGGAUAACAGGUAAAGAUUCCUGUACUAUAUCAUAACAGAACUGUGGGGACGCAGACAGAGAGCAUAAGCCGGGAAUGGAAAAACCGGUACAAGCGAGGUAGGAGUGCAUCAGGCAAAUCCGGUGCACAAUCUGAAGACGUGAUGUGGGGCGUAAAGCCGGAAGUAUGUGAGCUGGCUGCCAAGAAAAGCCGCUAUUGUUUAUGAUAUACCCGUACCGUAAACCGACACAGGUGGAUGAGGAGAGAAUCCUAAGGCCGACGGGAGAAGCAUUGUUAAGGAACUCGGCAAAAUGACUCCGUAACUUCGGGAGAAGGAGUGCCAUGUAAAAGUGGCCGCAGAGAAUUGGCCCAAGCAACUGUUUAGCAAAAACACAGGUCUAUGCAAAACCGAAAGGUGAGGUAUAUGGGCUGACGCCUGCCCGGUGCUGGAAGGUUAAGGGGAGAGGUUAGCCGUAAGGCGAAGCUUUGAACUUAAGCCCCAGUAAACGGCGGCCGUAACUAUAACGGUCCUAAGGUAGCGAAAUUCCUUGUCGGGUAAGUUCCGACCC
RNAcentral lists this ribosomal RNA (1953 nucleotides) under human gut metagenome. RNAcentral's name for it is "bacterial LSU rRNA". It matches the Rfam family "Bacterial large subunit ribosomal RNA", at positions 1 to 1989 of the family's 2925-position model. The record is from RNAcentral.